GAUGAAGAACGCAGCGAAAUGCGAUACGUAAUGUGAAUUGCAGAAUUCAGUGAAUCAUCGAAUCUUUGAACGCACAUUGCGCCCGCCAGCACUCUGGCGGGCAUGCCUGUUCGAGCGUCAUUUCAACCAUCAAGCCCCAGCGCUUGUGUUGGGGGCCUGCGGCUGCCGCAGCCCCCUAAAAGCAGUGGCGGGCUCGCUAUCACACCGAGUGCAGUAGUUCAUCUUCUCUCCGGUCUUGUGAGGCGGGUUCCGGCCGUGAAACACCCCACUACAUUCAAGGUUGACCUCGGAUCAGGUAGGAAUACCCGCUGAACUUAAGCAUAUCAAUAAGCGGAGGA
This 338-nucleotide unclassified non-coding RNA is filed under the name soil metagenome. RNAcentral's name for it is "partial contains 5.8S ribosomal RNA, internal transcribed spacer 2, and large subunit ribosomal RNA". The stretch from base 1 to 120 matches the Rfam family "5.8S ribosomal RNA", at positions 35 to 154 of the family's 154-position model. The record is from RNAcentral.